Pteropus vampyrus (large flying fox) is the source of this 126-nucleotide ribosomal RNA. NCBI's taxonomy places the organism in Eukaryota, Metazoa, Chordata, Mammalia, Chiroptera, Pteropodidae. The record is from Ensembl.
GCUCAGGCAUGCUACCCUAAACAUGCCUGAUCCCAGCAAUCCCAUCUGAUUUUGGAAACUAAGCAGGGUCCGGCCUGGUUAGUACGUGGAUGGGAGACUACCUAGGAAGACCAGAUGCUGUAGGUG